This 64-nucleotide transfer RNA is filed under the name Cavia porcellus (domestic guinea pig). It matches the Rfam family "tRNA". Rfam says of the family: Transfer RNA (tRNA) molecules are approximately 80 nucleotides in length. Their secondary structure includes four short double-helical elements and three loops (D, anti-codon, and T loops). The record is from Rfam by way of RNAcentral. Lineage: Eukaryota; Metazoa; Chordata; Mammalia; Rodentia; Caviidae.
GGGGAUUUAGCUCAGCGGCAUAAGCGCCUGCCUUGCAAGCAGGUAGUUGUGAGUUUAAUCCCUG